GACGAACGCUGGCGGCGUGCUUACACAUGCAAGUCGAACGGAAAGGCCCUGCUUUUGUGGGGUGCUCGAGUGGCGAACGGGUGAGUAACACGUGAGUAACCUGCCCUUGACUUUGGGAUAACUUCAGGAAACUGGGGCUAAUACCGGAUAGGAGCUCCUGCUGCAUGGUGGGGGUUGGAAAGUUUCGGCGGUUGGGGAUGGACUCGCGGCUUAUCAGCUUGUUGGUGGGGUAGUGGCUUACCAAGGCUUUGACGGGUAGCCGGCCUGAGAGGGUGACCGGCCACAUUGGGACUGAGAUACGGCCCAGACUCCUACGGGAGGCAGCAGUGGGGAAUAUUGCACAAUGGGCGGAAGCCUGAUGCUGCAACGCCGCGUGCGGGAUGACGGCCUUCGGGUUGUAAACCGCUUUCGCCUGUGACGAAGCGUGAGUGACGGUAAUGGGUAAAGAAGCACCGGCUAACUACGUGCCAGCAGCCGCGGUGAUACGUAGGGUGCGAGCGUUGUCCGGAUUUAUUGGGCGUAAAGGGCUCGUAGGUGGUUGAUCGCGUCGGAAGUGUAAUCUUGGGGCUUAACCCUGAGCGUGCUUUCGAUACGGGUUGACUUGAGGAAGGUAGGGGAGAAUGGAAUUCCUGGUGGAGCGGUGGAAUGCGCAGAUAUCAGGAGGAACACCAGUGGCGAAGGCGGUUCUCUGGGCCUUUCCUGACGCUGAGGAGCGAAAGCGUGGGGAGCGAACAGGCUUAGAUACCCUGGUAGUCCACGCUGUAAACGGUGGGUACUAGGUGUGGGGUCCACUCCACGGGUUCCGUGCCGUAGCUAACGCUUUAAGUACCCCGCCUGGGGAGUACGGCCGCAAGGCUAAAACUCAAAGGAAUUGACGGGGCCCCGCACAAGCGGCGGAGCAUGCGGAUUAAUUCGAUGCAACGCGUAGAACCUUACCUGGGUUUGACAUGGAUCGGGAGUGCUCAGAGAUGGGUGUGCCUCUUUUGGGGUCGGUUCACAGGUGGUGCAUGCCUGUCGUCAGCUCGUGUCGUGAGAUGUUGGGUUAAGUCCCGCAACGAGCGCAACCCUUGUUCACUGUUGCCAGCACGUUAUGGUGGGGACUCAGUGGAGACCGCCGGGGUCAACUCGGAGGAAGGUGGGGAUGACGUCAAGUCAUCAUGCCCCUUAUGUCCAGGGCUUCACGCAUGCUACAAUGGCUGGUACAGAGAGUGGCGAGCCUGUGAGGGUGAGCGAAUCUCGGAAAGCCGGUCUCAGUUCGGAUUGGGGUCUGCAACUCGACCUCAUGAAGUCGGAGUCGCUAGUAAUCGCAGAUCAGCAACGCUGCGGUGAAUACGUUCCCGGGGCU
Molecule: ribosomal RNA, 1345 nt
Filed under: uncultured bacterium
Lineage: Bacteria
Description: partial 16S ribosomal RNA
Rfam family: Bacterial small subunit ribosomal RNA
Source: RNAcentral